AAGGAAAUAUCCUCAAUUAAAAACAUCAGAGAAGCUUUCUGAGAAACUUUUUUGUGAUGUGUGAAUUCGUCUCACGGAUUUACACGUUUCUCUCCAUGAAGCAGUUUCUUAACACCGUUUUCGUGGAAUCUGCAAAGUGAUAUUUGGGAGCGCAUUGAGGCCUGUGGUAACAAAAAGGAAAUAUCCUCAGAUGAAAACCAGAAAGAAGGUUUCUGAGAAACUGCUAUCUGAUGUGUGAAUUCAUCUCUCAGAGAUACACUUUCCUUUCAUGGAGCAUUCUGUUCCCACUCUUUUUGUUGAAUCUGGGAAGGGAUAUUUGGGAUCACUAUGACGUCUAUACGGACAAAGGAAAUACCCUCAGAUAAAAAUCAGAGAGAACCUUUCUGAGAAACUAGUUUGUGAUAGGUGAAUUCAUCUCACAGAGUUACACCUUUCUCUUCAUGAAACAGUUUGCUAACACUGUGUUCGUGGAAUCUGCAAGGUGAUAUUUGGGAGCGCAUUGAGGCUUGUGGCGAAAAAGGAAAUAUCUUCAGAUGAAAACAUGAAAGAAGCGUUCUGAGAAACUGCGUUGUGAUGCGUGAAUGCAACUCACGGAGUUACACUUUUCUUUUCAUUGAUCAGUUUGCCAACACUGUUUUCUUAAAAUCUGCAAUGGGAUAUUUCUUAGUGCCAUGAAGCUUACGGUGACAAAGGAAAUAUCCUCUGAGAAAAACGAGAAAGAAGCUUUGUGAGAAACUGCUUUGUGAUGUGUGAAUUCAUGUCACAGAGGUACACAUGUAUUUUGUGGAGCCGUUUGCUAGAACUGUUUUUGUGGAAUCUGAGAAGAGAUAUUUUGGAUCGCAUUGAGGCCUGUGGUGAAAAAGGAAAUAUCCUCAGAUGAAAACUAGAAAGAAGGUUUCUGAGAAACUGCUAUCUGAUGUGUGAAUUCAUCUCACAGAGAUACACUUUUCUUUCAUGGAGCAUUCUGUUACUAGUCUUUUUUUUGAAUCUGGGAAGGGAUAUUUGAGAUGGCCAUGAAGACUAUACGGACAAAGGAAAUAUCCUCAAUUAAAAACGUGAAAGAAGCUUUCUGCGAAACUGCUCUGUGAUGUGUGAAUUCAUUUCACAGAGUUUCAGCAAUUUGAAAUGGCUGUUUUUGUGGAAUCCACGAAGGUUCAUUUGGGAACGCUAUGAGAAAUAUGGUUGAAAAGGAAGCGUCCUCGGAUGAAAACUAGAAGGAAGCUUUCAGUGAAACUUCUUUGUGAUGUGUGCAUUCCACUCUAAGAGUUAACACUCUCUUUUCAGAGAGCAGUGAAGAAACACUUUUGGUGUCAAGGCUACCAAGGGAUAUUUCGAAGCGCUUUGAAGCCAAUGGUGAGAAAGGAAAUAUCCUCAGAAACAAACUGGAAAAAAACUUUC
RNAcentral lists this long non-coding RNA (1398 nucleotides) under Macaca fascicularis (crab-eating macaque). RNAcentral describes it as "lncRNA (ENSMFAG00000065158.1)". Lineage: Eukaryota; Metazoa; Chordata; Mammalia; Primates; Cercopithecidae. The record is from RNAcentral.